ACUCAAAUGAAUUGACGGGGACCUGCACAAGCGGUGGAGCGCGUGGUUUAAUUCGUCACAAAGCGGAGAACCUUACCCAGGCUUGACAUCGAGAGAAUCCCCGAGAAACCGGGGAGUGCCGCAAGGAGCUCUCUGACAGAUGCUGCACGGUUGUCGUCAGCUCGUGCUGUGAAGUGUCCCGUUCAGUCGGUUAACGAGCGCAACCCUUACCCUGUGUUAUACAUGUCACAGGGAACUGCCCUAGUUAAUAGGGAGGAAGGUGAGGAUGACGUCAAAUCAGCGUGGCUCUUACGCCUGGGGCCACACACACGCUACAAUGGGAAGUAACAAUGGGUUGCCAAGCCGCGAGGCGGAGCUAAUCCCACCAAACCUUCCCUCAAUUCGGAUUGGAGGCUGAAACUCGCCUCCAUGAAGUCGGAAUCGCUAGUAACGGCCAAUCAGCUACGUGGCCGUGAAUACGUUCUCAGGUCUUGCACACACCGCCCGU
RNAcentral lists this ribosomal RNA (487 nucleotides) under uncultured bacterium. Its description in RNAcentral is "partial 16S ribosomal RNA". It matches the Rfam family "Bacterial small subunit ribosomal RNA", at positions 899 to 1397 of the family's 1533-position model. The record is from RNAcentral.